Molecule: transfer RNA, 69 nt
Filed under: Marmota monax (woodchuck)
Lineage: Eukaryota; Metazoa; Chordata; Mammalia; Rodentia; Sciuridae
Description: tRNA.Val
Rfam family: tRNA
About the family: Transfer RNA (tRNA) molecules are approximately 80 nucleotides in length. Their secondary structure includes four short double-helical elements and three loops (D, anti-codon, and T loops).
Source: RNAcentral
GGUAUAGCUCAGCUGGUAGAGCACUUGCCUCACAUGCACAAGGCCCUGAGUUUAAUCCCCAGUGCAACA